This is a non-coding RNA of Meleagris gallopavo (turkey), 3095 nucleotides long. The record is from RefSeq and is a predicted model, not a curated record. Lineage: Eukaryota; Metazoa; Chordata; Aves; Galliformes; Phasianidae.
UAAGGAUGGAGGACAUGGCACAGGGAUGGAGGAUGAGGAUAAGAAUGCAGGACAUGGCACAAGGAUGGAGGACGAGGAUAAGGAUGGAGGACAUGGCACAGGGAUGGAGGACGAGGAUAAGGAUGGAGGACUUGGCACAGAGAUGGAGGAUGAGAAUAAGGAUGGAGGACAUGGCACAGGGAUGGAGGACGAGGAUAAGGAUGGAGGACAUGGCACAGGGAUGGAGGAUGAGGAUAAGGAUGGAGGACAUGGCACAGAGAUGGAGGACGAGGAUAAGGAUGCAGGACAUGGCACAGGGAUGGAGGAUGAGGAUAAGGAUGCAGGACAUGGAGUGAGGACACGAGUCCAGCCCUGGCCAGCUGCUGCCAGGAGCUCUGCUGCUCCCCACCGCUCCCGGCACGGGGCAGGCGGGUACCGGCGCCGCAUCCCGCGCUCUAUUGACACUUAUCCGUAAUCUGAAGGAAUUCAAGACAAAUGGUUAAGGGGAUGGAGUUAAUAAAAUUUGAAAAAUUGAGGCCUGUCACUCCGCUAAACUUUUUUCGAUACCACUGGCAGAAACAUAUUUCCCCAAUGAGUGACCUUCCGCAGCUGCUCCAGCGUGGUGCGCGCGGGCGCUGGCGGUGAGCUGCUGUGCCAUUCAUCAAAUAUGAUAAGCUGGGGCCUCCUCGCACGAGCAGGAGGUGCAGGAAGCACAGCCCGAGGUGCUGCCCAGGUGUUGGCUCUGUGACAGCAGCGGGAGGUGACGAAUGGCCUCCCAUUAUGGCGGCGUGGGUGGUGGUGGGGCGGCGAGGUCAGGCCGCCGGCCGCGGCGGUGUUCCAUUAGCAGGGGGGUGACAGCGUUAUUUAUGGCGGCGGUGCCGGAGGUGGGGAUCGACCGGUUGGACGAGCCGGGUUCUAUCAAUUAUUGCAGCAAUUAGUCAAGUCGUCAAAGCCGUUAACGGGGGGAUUAGGCCAAUAUUGGAUGGAUGGCCGCUAUUGAUAGGUCCGGGGGAUGGAGGACCAACCCUCAGCCGUCGGGAAGGGAAAGACUCAAGGAUGGCGUCGUGGGGAGGGUCCAACCCAACAGAGCCCCCUCCUCACUGCCUCCCCCCGCAGGGGAUGAGCACCGGCCCCGUGCUGCAUCCCAUCCCCUGCCUCCAUCAUCUUCCUCAUCCGCCGCGACAGGGCUGGAGCUGGAAAUCGCUCCGUGCCGAAUGUUUAUGGAGGGCAUCUUUCAUUCUGUAAGCACGUGUGGGUUCCCAAGGCUCAGCAGCGCUCGGCUCCCUGCUCCCAGCUCACCCAACCCUCAUGGCUGCUGUGCACUCACACAUCUGUGAACGUGCCAGGAGAUGUGUCUGAUUCCCAGGAGCCAGAGCUGGAUCCCAUGGUGCCAUGCUGUGUCUUUUCUAUUCCCUUGGAGCCAUAUUCGUGUCCCUCCUGUUCCCUUGGAGCCAUAUUCGUGUCCCUCCUAUUCCCUUGGAGCCAUAUUCGUGUCCCUCCUAUUCCCUUGGAGCCAUAUUCGUGUCCCUCCUGUUCCCUUGGUGCCACAUUCGUGUCCCUCCUAUUCCCCUGGUGCCAUAUUCAUGUCCCUCCUAUUCCCUUGGUGCCACAUUCGUGUCCCUCCUGUUCCCUCGGUGCCACAUUCGUGUCCCUCCUAUUCCCCUGGUGCCAUAUUCGUGUCCCUCCUAUUCCCUUGGUGCCACAUUCGUGUCCCUCCUAUUCCCUUGGUGCCACAUUCAUGUCCCUCCUAUUCCCUUGGUGCCACAUUCGUGUCCCUCCUGUUCCCUUGGAGCCACAUUCAUGUCCCUCCUAUUCCCCUGGUGCCAUAUUCAUGUCCCUCCUAUUCCCUUGGUGCCACAUUCGUGUCCCUCCUAUUCCCCUGGUGCCAUAUUCAUGUCCCUCCUAUUCCCCUGGUGCCACAUUCAUGUCCCUCCUAUUCCCUUGGAGCCAUAUUCGUGUCCCUCCUAUUCCCUUGGUGCCACAUUCGUGUCCCUCCUAUUCCCCUGGUGCCAUACCCAUGUCCUUCCUAUUCCCAUAGUGCCAUCCUUGUGUCCCUCCUAUUGCCAUGGUGCCAUACCGGUGUCCCUCUUACUCCCCUUGUGCCACACUCGUGUCUCCCCUAUUGCCCCACAUCUCUGCCUCCUGACCUUGGCCUGCCCAGCUCUUUGCACCCACACCGCUGCUUCCCAAACAAACUGGGACCGGUUUGUGCUCAGCAUGCAGGUUUGGCUCUCUGUGGGCGCCCGCGCAGCUCCCCACAGCAGUUCAGCCUCUGGACUUUACUGGUUCUUUGUUCCCAAUGUAAUCCCAAGGAAGAGAGAGGUUUCCCCCUGCAGCCCUUGGGAUUGCUCGGAGCAAAGGUCAGAACAGGACACCCACCCGGGAGAUGCGCUGUGUGCCCCCUCUGCCCCAGGGCUCCCUGACCUCCUCCCUUUCUUCCUGCCAACAGGUGCCAACCCCCUGCAGAAGAACGAGAUGGGCCACACGCCGCUGGAUUACGCCCGCGAAGGGGAGGUGAUGAACCUCCUGAAGGCAUCGGAGGCAAAGUUCCAGGAGGAGCAGCGUCGCCGGGAAGUGGAGGAGCGCCGCAGGUUCCCUCUGGAGCAGAGGCUGAAGGAGCACAUCAUCGGCCAGGAGAGUGCCAUAGCCACGGUGGGGGCAGGUGAGGUCCAAACCACUUUUGUCUUAGGAAUGUUAAUCAUUAAUAGCUCACUGAUGGCUCUGUAGGGCAGUUUGUACAUAAACACUCCCCACGUGGGGGGUUUCUCUGUGCUCCUCACCCACGUGGGGCUUUGUUCCAUGAGGAAAAUAGGAGUGCACGUGGUUACGCUUCACACGGAGUCAGAGAUCCAUAGGGGACCUCUGCAGAUCCCCCAGUCCAUCCCUCUGCUAAAGGAGGUUUCCUAGAGCAGGCUGCAAGAUCCCCUCUCAUCCUUCUCUCCCCCGGCUGCUCAGCCUUCAGCCUGUCCCCACCAGGAGCAGCUCCAGGCCCCCACCAUCUCUGCACCCUCACUGGGCUCUCCCCAGCAGUUCCCUUUCUGCCUGGAGCUGGGGAGCCCAGCACUGGGUGCAGUGCUUCAGAUGUGGCCCCCCCAGGGCAGAGCAGAGGGAAAGAG